AACUUGCUACGAAUAGCAUGGCAUGUUAAAAAAGUCAGAACCUAAGCAAAAACGAAAUUUGAAUUGAAACAGUUGUUUCCUAAAAGUGAAAACAAGUAUUUUGAAAAAUUAGGAGCAGGGUAAUUUUAGAAGUGGGUUGGUCAUGAGAAACUGAAAAAUAUUUUAAGAAGCUUUUUAUGAGCUGCAUGUGUUGUUAUUCUGUUGCCUAGUUACCUUUUGAAAGUUUAAUGAGUUAGUGAGUGAAAGGGUGAGGCUGAUGACAGUUACAUAAAGAUCCAGCACAUUUACAAUUCUUUGUAGACAACUGGUGUUAAUAAUAGAUGCAUCGCCACUUAACAGUCCGCCCUGAUUGCUGCAAGCCUGGGAACGAGGUGCUGUGUGGAAAACAGGCACGGGGAUGGUCGGUAAACAGACUCGCUUCAUUAUCCAAUUCACUCCCCUUCGAGGGAAUCUUUACUUUUUUUCAAAAGGAAUUUGUGAUGAUCUUUGGAAAGUAGGUUCACUCAUACGUCUAGAGCAGUUUGAGCUCAGUGUACGGAGAUAGUGCGUUCCUUGAAGUAUCCAGCGUUUUGACAGGGUCUUCAUAGACAGGACUUAGGACCAUGUGAGACUUUAGAAUUUGGAUCAAAUGAAAAGAUCUUGGUAAUUUGGAAUCAUGUGAAUGGGUCUUUUACCAUGGUAACUAUUUGGAUCUUGUGAAAAGACACAUCCAAGGACACCCAACAUGCCAACAAACAUCACCUUGAAAGUACAGCCCAUGAAGACAGAGCCACAGGACAACUGCGAGCCCAGCGACUACGGCGCCAGCGGAACCGAGGGGCCACCAUCUGUUUGGCUGCAAUCUGCCGCAUCAGCUCAUCUGUCUGGAUGUCCUCGGAAAUGUCGUCCUCCUCAGGGUCAUACAGCCUUAUCGGGACAGCAGCAGGACGGAGGACGAAGCAGCUCAGCCUCUGCAUCAGGUGCUGUAACAGUUUCCAGUUGCGGAUGAGUUCCAGCUGGUCCCGGAUCGUCAUAUGUUCCUCCGACAGGCAGGGGAAGUCAUCCAGCAUGUAGCCUGAAGGGGAGACAACUCAAGAAACAAAUGGCAUAAGCUAAGUAUUUCCUGAGCUGCAGAACACUGCUGAACUAACAACAUAGACCUAGGCAGCUUCCAAUGUUCCAAAUUCAUCCCUGAGAAGCAUCCCAUCAAGUUUCAAGGUUCUUCAACAUGGCCUCCAUCUCGGAUGAUGUUCCGGAGGGCUCUGGGAUGCUCACAGCCUCCAGGGUUGGCUGAAUCACAGACAUUCAAACAUGUACUACUGUCACAAGAAUAUUCACAAGGAAACAUAGCUACG
RNAcentral lists this long non-coding RNA (1334 nucleotides) under Haliotis rufescens (red abalone). Its description in RNAcentral is "uncharacterized LOC124138986, transcript variant X1". The record is from RNAcentral. Lineage: Eukaryota; Metazoa; Mollusca; Gastropoda; Lepetellida; Haliotidae.